Zophobas morio is the source of this 700-nucleotide long non-coding RNA. RefSeq lists it as uncharacterized. Lineage: Eukaryota; Metazoa; Arthropoda; Insecta; Coleoptera; Tenebrionidae. The record is from RefSeq and is a predicted model, not a curated record. The transcript is spliced from 5 exons.
UGAAUCUGACAAUGUGACAAUGCCCGUGCGGCGCAGGGAUGCAGAUGGCAGAUUGCAGAUGUCAGUUGGUUUUUGCCGCUAGAGAAGUGUAGUGGGUACCCAUGUAAAAGUGGUGAAAGUGAUUUUUGCAUUUACUUUUGAACUUUAUCUUUGAAAAUUGUGUUAAACCAAUGCCUAGUAAUCGUUUAUAAUUAAUUUUUAUACGAUAUCACGAUAUCAGUAGGUAUAGUUUUGAGAUUCACUGGUCCCUUGCAACGACACCAGGUAAUAGAAAAGCGAAAAAAGGAUUGAAGAAGUCACAGAAGAUAUUCUCCUGACUUAUCUUGAUAUGCGAAGCAUAUGAAGAACAAACACCCCACAGUUAUCGUACCAAAAAGUUUUAGACUGAAAACGAUCGUAGAAUUUACUUAGCGCGGGACUCGAGGAGGAAUAGCUUGGACGAGGCCCCCGCCGUCCCAGACGAACCUGCAGCACCCGGAACCGGGCACACGGCCAUGAUGAGAAUGGACGCAUCCGGCGGGGGAGCUGGGCCUGAACGGGGCCCUCGUCCUGCGGCUCCCGAACGGGGGCCGCGUAGCUUUCUCGCACGCCAGGGACCACAUUAAAGUGGUCCUCCACUUUUAAAACCCCGAGUUCCCUUCGAUUUAUUCUGUAUCUUUUUUUUUGUCUUGGAUUUUGUUAAUAAAUGAAAAUAAGUAGA